Molecule: ribosomal RNA, 253 nt
Filed under: uncultured bacterium
Lineage: Bacteria
Description: partial 16S ribosomal RNA
Rfam family: Bacterial small subunit ribosomal RNA
Source: RNAcentral
UACGAAGGGGGCUAGCGUUGUUCGGAAUUACUGGGCGUAAAGCGUGCGCAGGCGGCUUCUCAAGUCAGGGGUGAAAGCCCAGAGCUCAACUCUGGAAUUGCCUUUGAGACUGAGUGGCUUGAGUACGAGAGAGGUGAGUGGAAUUCCCAGUGUAGAGGUGAAACUCGUAGAUAUUGGGAAGAACACCGGUGGCGAAGGCGGCUCACUGGCUCGUAACUGACGCUCAUGCACGACAGCGUGGGGAUCAAACAGG